CGUGCAGGCGGUGUGGGAAGUCGGACGUGAAAGCUCCUGGCUCAACUGGGAGAGGCCGUUCGAAACUCCCAUACUAGAGGACGGUAGAGGCGAGUGGAAUUCCCGGUGUAGUGGUGAAAUGCGUAGAUAUCGGGAGGAACAUCAGAGGCGAAAGCGGCUCGCUGGGCCGGUUCUGACGCUGAGAUGCGAAAGCUAGGGGAGAGAACG
RNAcentral lists this ribosomal RNA (207 nucleotides) under uncultured bacterium. RNAcentral describes it as "partial 16S ribosomal RNA". It matches the Rfam family "Bacterial small subunit ribosomal RNA", at positions 568 to 774 of the family's 1533-position model. The record is from RNAcentral.